CCGAGUUUACAAACUCCCAAACCCCUGUGAACUUAUACCUAUACGUUGCUUCGGCGGGACUCGCCCCGGCUGCCAACCCGCUCGCGGGGAGGCGGACCGGACCCAGGCGCCCGCCGGAGGACCCAAACUCUUCUGUCUCUCAUAGCGGCAUGUCUGAGUGGAUUUUUAUACAAAAUGAAUCA
Molecule: unclassified non-coding RNA, 182 nt
Filed under: uncultured Metacordyceps
Lineage: Eukaryota; Fungi; Ascomycota; Sordariomycetes; Hypocreales; Clavicipitaceae
Description: sequence contains ITS1
Source: RNAcentral